This 68-nucleotide transfer RNA is filed under the name Faughnia haani. Its description in RNAcentral is "tRNA-Ile". Lineage: Eukaryota; Metazoa; Arthropoda; Malacostraca; Stomatopoda; Parasquillidae. The record is from RNAcentral.
AAUGAAGUGCCUGAAAAAGGGUUAUCUUGAUAGGAUAAAACAUGUAAAAAUAAGUUUUACCUUUAUUA